Molecule: long non-coding RNA, 244 nt
Filed under: Helianthus annuus (common sunflower)
Lineage: Eukaryota; Viridiplantae; Streptophyta; Magnoliopsida; Asterales; Asteraceae
Description: sRNA HanXRQr2_Chr02g0070811
Source: RNAcentral
GAGGGGAUUUCCCUCAAACCCUAAAAUUCACAAAAAUCCAUCAAUUGAAGGUGCAAAUCAAGUCCGAAUUGAAAUCUGAAUAUAGGGUUGUGAUCAUCUUGACUAAGAGAUUGUAAGAGGUGAUAUGUGGGCAACACGAGUGAGGCGUCGGGAAGUCAAGCCGGUGCGGACGCUCGCCAAAAGGGAAAGCUCUAAGAUUUCAAGUAAGUUAAUCAAGCGGAUGGUGAUCAACUCAAGACCAUGA